CCACGCGUGUGUGAAGAAGGUCUUCGGAUUGUAAAGCACUUUAAGUUGGGAGGAAGGGCAUUAACCUAAUACGUUAGUGUUUUGACGUUACCGACAGAAUAAGCACCGGCUAACUCUGUGCCAGCAGCCGCGGUAAUACAGAGGGUGCAAGCGUUAAUCGGAAUUACUGGGCGUAAAGCGCGCGUAGGUGGUUUGUUAAGUUGAAUGUGAAAUCCCCGGGCUCAACCUGGGAACUGCAUCCAAAACUGGCAAGCUAGAGUAUGGUAGAGGGUAGUGGAAUUUCCUGUGUAGCGGUGAAAUGCGUAGAUAUAGGAAGGAACACCAGUGGCGAAGGCGACUACCUGGACUGAUACUGACACUGAGGUGCGAAAGCGUGAGGAGCAAACAGGAUUAGAUACCCUGGUAGUCCACGCCGUAAACGAUGUCAACUAGCCGUUGGGAGUCUUGAACUCUUACCUUGCGCAGCUAACGCAUUAAGUUGACCGCCUGGGAGUACGGCCGCAAGGUUAAAACUCAAAUGAAUUGACGGGGGCCCGCACAAGCGGUGGAGCAUGUGGUUUAAUUCGAAGCAACGUGAAGAACCUUACCAGGCCUUGACAUCCAAUGAACUUUCCAGAGA
Molecule: ribosomal RNA, 619 nt
Filed under: Pseudomonas fragi
Lineage: Bacteria; Pseudomonadati; Pseudomonadota; Gammaproteobacteria; Pseudomonadales; Pseudomonadaceae
Description: bacterial SSU rRNA
Rfam family: Bacterial small subunit ribosomal RNA
Source: RNAcentral